CACUUGUGAAUUUACUACAAUCAUUACCCUAUAUAUACAAGUAGUGGAUUCCACUAUUGUAACAGAAUUCUAACAAACUGAAUAAAAUAAAUUUAAACUAAAAUGUAUUUUUGUAGCUAAUUACAAAAGUGUCCUUAUUCCAUCCUAUUCUAGAAUACUGUAGAAAGAGGCUACUUGUCUUAAUCUGAUAGGUCCACGUGGCUUAGCAUAUUCAUGGACUUAUUUGAAGUUGAAAACACUUCGUGUCAAUCUUCUUCUUUGUCAUUUCUUGAGAGCUACCGACGAGCCAGGAGCUUGUCUCCGACAACACCCCCUGCAAGUUGGAGACGGUGAACGGACUCCUAACUUGAGAAGAAGGGAACAAUGAAGGGGCCAGACAUAGCUUUAGUAAAUAGAUCGGCCAACUAAGAAGAAGAAGGGACAAAAGAUAAAGAGAUCAGACCAUCAAGAAGCUUUUCACGAACGAAAUGGUAAUCAAGCUCAAUGUGCUUGGUUCGUUCGUGAAAGACGGGAUUUUUAGCAAUAUGAAUGGUCGUUUGGCUAUCAUAGUGAAGAGAAACGGGUAAAGAUGGAGAAAGAGAAAGAUCUUGUAACAAGUGAACCAAUCAGGUGAUCUCUGAAACUAGGCGACGCAUAGAACGAUAUUCCACCUCAGCGGAAGAAAGGGCAAUGACUGGCUGUUUCUUGGACUUCCAUGAAAUAGGAGAACCACCAAGGCUGAGGAAAAAUCCGCUAAUAGAAUGACGAGUAUCAGAGCAGAAAGCCCAGAGUCGCAAAAGGCAAGGAGCUGAAAUAAUGGAUCAGGGGCUAAGAAAAUGCCAAGACCAGGAUCGUGACGUAAACAUCGCAGAGUGUGAUAAGCAGCGAAAAGAUGUCCUUGGCAUAGAUUUUGCAUAUAUUGACUGAGGAUUUGGACUGCAAAAGAAAGAUUUGGCCUUGUGUUUGUUAAAAAAAAUUGAGUUUUUCCAAAAGGCAUCUGUAGACAAAGGGAUCUGGAAGAGGAGGUUUAUAAGAAGAAGAGAGUUUGAUAGUUGGGUCAAGAGAAGUAGAGACAGAUCUGGAUUCAAGGCAAUCAAACUCAGAUAAGGUUUCCAUGGCGAAUUUACGCUGAACUGUUACCAGAGAGCAAGAUGUCAUCAACAUAAACCGCAAUCAGAGUAACCAGAAUACCAGUGUGUUUAAAGAAUAAAGAAUAGUCAUUCAAGGAGCAAGUGAAACCUCUAGUGCUCAAAGCUGAAGACAGGCGUGCAUACCACUAACGUGAUACUUGUUUCAAUUCAUAAAGGGACUUACGGAGGCGACCAACAUAUGAAGGAGGCGGAGCUACCAUUCCGGGAGGAAACCUCAUAUAGACUUCUUCAUUGAGGUCCCCAUGAAGAAAUGCGUUGUUGACAUCUAGCUGGUUUGUUGUUCUGAGCUCCAUACCUGUUUUCCCUUGCCUGCCUAGACGCACUUGAAAUCUGUCCAGUACUAUAAAAAGCAGAAGAGUCGGUACUUAGAGUAUUUUGAGCAUGUACCUUCCUUUGUGAUUCUUCAUGGAGAAAAUAGAGUAGCCUGAGCAGUCGAAGGGAGUGACUUCAUCAUAAGAAUAUUUCCUCGAACACCGGUGUACACAUCAUUAAGACCCAUUAAGAAUUGAAUGAGUUGUUGAUCCUCAUUCAUCUUAGCACUAUGUGUUUUAGCUCCACAUUCACAAUCACAUCGACAAACCAUAUAAGUAUUGAGCUAUUUCAAUUGAUCCCAAAUUCUCUUAAGUUUAGUAAAAUAACCUGCUACGUCAGAAUUUCCUUGACUGAUAUUGUUGAGAUCUCGUUACAGCUAGAACAUCCUAACACCAUCUUCUUGUCCACAUCGUUCCUCAAGCUCAGUCCAUAGAUCCUUCGCAGUUUGAGAGUAAAUCACACUCUCUGAAAUAUCUCGGCUAAGGUAGUUGAGAAGCCAUGCUAUAACCAUAUCAUUUCAUCUUCUCCAAUGAUCAAAUAAAGGUGAAUCUGGAUCUGGAGAUCUACAACUUCCAGUGAUGAAACCUAGAUUAUGCUUAGCUGAGAGAGAGAUCAAAACACUUCGGUGCCAAUUGUUAUAUCUAGUACCAUUAAAGGUGAUAUUGAACAGAUUAAUCCCAAGGUUAUCUGAUGGAGCGAGGUAAUAAGGGUGAUUUUGAUCCAUCAAAAUAGAGGGAACAAUAGCUCUGCGUGCAGCUUCUGCUGCUAUAGGUGGAGUAAGUAAUUCAUCAGCCAUUGUGAAUCAAAGCAAGCAAAAAUUAGAGAAGAAAAAAAAUAUACAGAGCUCUUAUUGUUGCUCUGAUACCAUGCGAAACUUCAAAGAAAAAAAUGAUAUGAGGAAAA
This is a long non-coding RNA of Capsicum annuum, 2345 nucleotides long. RefSeq lists it as uncharacterized. The transcript has 3 exons. The record is from RefSeq and is a predicted model, not a curated record. Lineage: Eukaryota; Viridiplantae; Streptophyta; Magnoliopsida; Solanales; Solanaceae.